Molecule: long non-coding RNA, 2526 nt
Filed under: Anolis carolinensis (green anole)
Lineage: Eukaryota; Metazoa; Chordata; Lepidosauria; Squamata; Anolidae
Description: lncRNA (ENSACAG00000041897.1)
Source: RNAcentral
CCUUCCCCCUCCGCCCGAGGAAGCAGCAGCACCCAGCCGAGGGGUCGCCUCGUCGCCCAGCAGGCCGGGGCUCCCCUGCGCAGGAUCUCCUCAGACUCGCGCAGGGUUACUUCGCCGCAGAAACUGAAGCACGGCCAGGAGCGUCUGACGGUCGGUGGGCAGCUGAGACGCGCUGGCGGCAGGGCUGGGAACCACCGGGGGCUUGGAGUCGGCGCCUGCCGUCGGAAGCGGCUCCGCGUCGGAGGCGGGAGCCACAGGGGAAGGGGCCGGGCCGGCGGGAGGCGUCGGGGCCUGAGGGACAGCGGGAGGCGGCGGUGGCGGCGCUCCCGCGUCCGGGUCUGGCUUCACAGUGACUGCCUCCGCCGGCUCCUCUGCCAGCGCCGCCAUCUUUAUCCCCUUUCAGGGAGACCGCGGUUUUGCGACAGUCAGGGCGUGAAGAAAAGGGAUUGGACGACACCCACCCGUGGCUUGACGGCACUUCCGGUUCCGAGAAGCUGCCAUGAGCCAAAGCCCCGCCGCUGAGGGAUCUGGCGAAGGACUGGGAGGCGAGGACGUAGCAGCCAAAGCCCUGGAAGGCCCCGGUUGCUCCAAGGCGAGGUCCCGCUUCGAAGGGGGAAGCCUCUCCGAGUCCAGCGGGGAGGGAAACGGAGACAUGGAGGAGGAGGAAGAGGAAGGAGGAGAAGAAGAAGAGAUGGAGGAAGGAGGGGGCCCAGAACAAGGUCCCUUUGGGGCUUCGGGGACAGAAGACGAAGCGAAGCGAAUGCGGAUGAGCGCAUGAUUAACCUCUCUGAACUGACACCAUAUAUCAUGUGUUCCAUCUGCAAGGGGUACUUUAUAGAUGCCACAACCAUCACAGAGUGCCUUCAUACAUGUAUGUAGUGGUACUGAUUUCUUGUUCAAAAGAAGCUUGAUUUUUCAUAUACAGAAAGAUGAGUUUUGGAAUGCCGGAACAGCUACAGUAAUCAGUCUGGGUUUUCAAUGAAGUUUCUUGUGUUCUUUCCUCUUCUCCUUCAUCUUUAAUUCCUGUCAGUUCUAAAAUCUAAUUUUGGAGAAAUUUGAUUUAAAAUGUUAUCUCUAGGAAUCUCUAGGUCCUCCAGUGCGACUCUUAUAGUCAGCCUCCACCAGAUGUUGACUAUGGAGUCAUGCUGGAGGACCUGGAAGUUCCAAGAGAGAACACUUCUAGGUAUCCCUAGGUAGUCCAGUGUGAUUCUGUGGUCUGCCAUUGGCAGAAGUUUACCAUAGAGUCACACUGGAGGAUCUAGAGAUUCCUACAGAGGUGUUCUCUCAGGUUAAAAAACAUAAUUUUUUAUUUUAAAAAUGUGGUUUUUCCCAUUUUUGCUCUGAUCCUGCGCCCUUAACUAUAGUGAAUGCGGAGGGCUGGCAGAAUUUAUAUUAUGCAUGGUCAGAAAAGGAAUACCAAGUAUAAACUUCUCAGUUGCAGCAGCUGGGGGAGUAAAAUAGGGUAACCUUAUUUCAUUACAUUAUUGUAUGCAUAUUACUGAUAUUCUUUUUGCUAAACUUCUUUGUAAGCCAUCAGGCUAGAAGUCUCUGGUACAAUCCCCAUAUCUGCGUGGGGUACAUUUCGAGAUUUUGUGUGGAUAUGCAAAACUGCAGAUCAUACCAAGCCAUGUUAAAGUAUUUCUGGCUCAAAGAAUGCCAUAGAAUUACACUGGGGAUCUAGAAAGUGCUUUAAAGGGCAUAUUUUGUCAGAUAAAUAAAACUACAGACGCCAGUCCCCUAGCUAUUGGGGAGGGGGGUGUCAUGCUGUAUUUUAGCAAAACUAUUGCCUUUUCACUUGUUUUAUUUUACAAUUCACCUGCGUUUUAGACAACUCUUGGUAACAUGAUAUAUUAUAUGUGGUAAGUGUUACUUACUCCUGGGCAUGUAACUGUGACUUUAUUUUUUACAGUCUGUAAAAGCUGCCUAGUUAGACAUUUUUACUACAGUAACAGAUGUCCAAAAUGCAACAUUGUAGUACAUCAGACACAGCCUCUUUAUAAUAUCAGGUAAUAAUCUUAAAUGGUUUCUGUUCUACAAUGUGCUUGUUGUGUUGUUUGCAUAGAAAGUAUAAUUGAAAGACUUUUUGCUGUCCCGUAGAAGAACUUAAUAAGUCUGCAGAAAAUUAUUAAUUUCCUUUACUGUUCAGAAAAUAAAAUCUGCAUAUCCCCAAAAGUUGCCUUAUCCUUGAAAGUUUUCCUUUUGUUGUCUGUUUCUGUGACUUUAACUCUUACUCAGUAUACCAGUGCAGUGUUUAAAAGAUAGUAGUAAAUUUGCUUUUGUGAAUUAUGACUGUUGGGCUAUUACCUAGUGAUUCACCUUCAUUGUAGAUCUAAUUCCGUUUGACACCACUUUAAUUGUCAUGGCUCAGUGGUGUGGAAUCCGGGAAGUUGUAGUUUAACAAACUUCUCUGACAAAGAGUGCUUGCUGUGCUUCACCAAGCUACAAUUCUUGGGAUUCCAUAUCAUUGAGCACUUAAAUUGAUGUCAAACUGCAUUAAUUCUGCAGUGUAGCUGCAUUAAUUCCUCA